Molecule: long non-coding RNA, 1681 nt
Organism: Numida meleagris (helmeted guineafowl)
Lineage: Eukaryota; Metazoa; Chordata; Aves; Galliformes; Numididae
Source: Ensembl
GGGGAAAAGAGUUCUUUUAUGGGCUAUUUUAUCCUUUUUUUGUCCUCUCUUGCAGUCGACUUUUUGGCAAAAUACUGCAUCUUCAGCCAGGAGAAGUUGGCGAAGUACAAAAGGGCUUUUGAAGCGGAUGAUACAGAUGAAGAUGGGUACUUGAACUGCUGGCAAGUUUUGAUGGCCUUGAAAGAUGCUGCUUCAGAAGCACUGAUUUAUGCAGGAAGUAAAGCUAACAGAUCUCUCCCUUGAAAAAUGUGAGAGAAUGAUUUUAGAGAUUGUUGACUAUUAUGUAACAGAUGGCCUGACAGACCUCCGACUCUUUGCAGUGAUGGCUAGCUUGGCGUAGAAAAUAGCAGCACUGGAGUAAGCAUUCAGCGGCAUAGACGCUCAUGAAUUUUAACUCCUCAGUGACAAAGGAAUUCAAGGGGAAAUAUUUCUGUGCCUGGCCAGUCAUUGAAAACUUUUCCUGGUAAAGUAGAGGAAGAAGGGGGAAAAGACAUUCACCUCAGAAGAGCAUCCUCAAAACAAAUCAGUCAGGGACACACGUCUCUUCCCUCAGCACACCUCCAUCCUGCAGUCAUUGCUGUAAGACAGAGACUCUCCAUAGCACCUCUGGGACGUAGAACGCUAUCCACUCCCUGCCAGAUCUUCUUGAUGUUGAGUUUUCCAAAGACAUUUUCUCAAAGGGAGAGCACAAUGAAGAGGCCAGCCAGCAGCUCCAGUCUCAGUCGGAGAUCACAACUGUCCAGUGAGGCUGAGAAGCAGGGAGAUAUGUCCUCCCCUCCCCACUGCCAACAUGUGGGCCUGGAGUGCUCUCAGGAAACGUUCAUCACCAGCUCUGGCCAGAAGAUGAAACUGGGCAGAUGAUAUGUUUCAAUGUCUCUUAUUUGUAGUAGUGGUAAAUUUCUUCUCUCUUUUUUAGGGCUAUCAGAAGGCAAAAAGGUAGAGGUUAGGGAGCUGAUACUUCGGCAAAGUGAUGACCUGUGCUCAUACAGUGGUGGUUUCACUUUGUGUGUUAGCUGUUUGCAGCAGUGUCUCAGAGGACAGGGUGUUUGGGGGGUUUUCAACCCCACGUAACCAAUCUGAUGAUGACAUAGUCACUUUUCAUCUUAAUGGGUCUAUCCUGCAAUUCUGGUGAAAUAUUUGGUAUCCAUGAAUCAAAACAGAAAGUAGCUGACUUUCAUUUUUAACAUAGCUAUGGAAGUACUUUCCAUGCACUUUUUUUUUCCCCCUUAAUAAUGCUCUCAAAACUCUUUCUACAUAAGAUUUGAUAACUAGAAGGCAAUACUUUGCAGUUUAAUAGUUUGUGGAACUUUUCUAAUUGUUAAUACAACUCUGCUAGCUGAGGAGUACAGAAACAUAGAAUUCUCCUGCUGAAAUCACAUCUGAUAUGCCCGGAUUUCUCUGAUAGGAAUCGUGCUGUAUUUCUUUAUUUUUUCCAGGCUAAUGUUUAUAUUAGCAUGGACAAACAACAACAAAGAAAAAAUAUGCAUCUUUUUUGCAUUAUUUCUUGUUAAAUUUGUCUUCUUUAGACUAGCCACUUUCUGAACUUCAGGCAAACAAAGAUAGGCAUAACACAUGUCUAAAAUCAGUGAGAGGCAAAUGCGGCACAGUCCUUUGCUUCUUUGUGAGUCAAAUGCUCCAGCCCCCUAAUAAACAUCUGCAAAAAAAGAAAAAAAGAAAAAAA